RNAcentral lists this ribosomal RNA (108 nucleotides) under uncultured bacterium. RNAcentral describes it as "16S ribosomal RNA". It matches the Rfam family "Bacterial small subunit ribosomal RNA", at positions 355 to 480 of the family's 1533-position model. The record is from RNAcentral.
UGGGGAAUAUUGCACAAUGGGGGAAAGCCUGAUGCAGCGACGCCGCGUGAGUGAAGAAGGAUUUCGGUAUGUAAAGCUCUAUCAGCAGGGAAGAAAAUGACGGUACCU